This 373-nucleotide ribosomal RNA is filed under the name uncultured organism. Its description in RNAcentral is "bacterial SSU rRNA". It matches the Rfam family "Bacterial small subunit ribosomal RNA", at positions 527 to 896 of the family's 1533-position model. The record is from RNAcentral.
CAGAGGGGCAAGCGUUGUUCGGAAUUACGUGGGCGUAAAGGGCGCGUAGGCGGCCUUCUAAGUCGAACGUGAACUCCCCGGGCUCGAACCCGGGAACUGCGUCCGAUACUGGAAGGCUUGAAUCCGGGAGAGGGAUGCGGAAUUCCAGGUGUAGCGGUGAAAUGCGUAGAUAUCUGGAGGAACACCGGUGGCGAAGGCGGCAUCCUGGACCGGUAUUGACGCUGAGGCGCGAAAGCCAGGGGAGCAAACGGGAUUAGAUACCCCGGUAGUCCUGGCCCUAAACGAUGAAUGCUUGGUGUGGCGGGUAUCGAUCCCUGCCGUGCCGAAGCUAACGCAUUAAGCAUUCCGCCUGGGGAGUACGGUCGCAAGGCUG